UAGCUCAGUUGGUAGAGCAUGGUGUUUGCAACGCCAGGGUUGUGAGUUCGAUUCCCAC
Molecule: transfer RNA, 58 nt
Filed under: Salmo salar (Atlantic salmon)
Lineage: Eukaryota; Metazoa; Chordata; Actinopteri; Salmoniformes; Salmonidae
Also listed under: 2 other names
Rfam family: tRNA
About the family: Transfer RNA (tRNA) molecules are approximately 80 nucleotides in length.
Source: Rfam by way of RNAcentral